This is a non-coding RNA of Arachis ipaensis, 1162 nucleotides long. NCBI's taxonomy places the organism in Eukaryota, Viridiplantae, Streptophyta, Magnoliopsida, Fabales, Fabaceae. The record is from RefSeq and is a predicted model, not a curated record.
UAAACUCAAAUUGAAUGUUAUCUCAGCAAACUUGUAAGGCGGAAAUCAUGGCAAGUGGCAUACAUGCAUGGAAACAGUGCUCAUGAACUGAAGCCUUAACUUAUCUUCGUUAGAAACCAACAAAGCCUCAAAUUAAAGAUGGAACAAGCGCCAGAGAUAUGCAGUUGUGACUGAUGCAAACAAAGGAAUUGGAAUAGAAAUAGUAAGGUUGUGUUGACUUCCAGAGAUGAGAAGAGAGGCCUUCAUGCUUUGGAAACUCUCAAACAUCUCUCUCAUCUUGUGCUCUUUCACCACCUUCAUGUUGCUGUUCCUGCUAGUGUGGAUUCUCUUGCAAAUUUCAUCAAAUCCGAAUUUCGAAAGGGGAUACAAGAUGAAUUAUGUGAAAAUAAAAUUUCCAUGUUUGCAUUUUUCUACUCAGAAAUAAGUUUCAUUGACUAUAUAAAUUUCUAUUGUAUGAUUUGGGAUUUUCUCAUUUAUUUUCAUGUUUGUUAGUUGCAUGUUAAGGUUUUUUUUUUCCUUACAAUUCCACUAAAAAAAUGUAAUUGACUAAUUUGUUCUGAAUGUAAUAAAUUAAACUUCUCGUAUGAAGCUCUGCAUGCUAAGAGGUUUAAUUACUAUCAAGUCAUGUUUAGGGUUUAUGUUAUUAAUUUUGGAUACUAACCAGGAAUGAGUUCAUUGCCUUAAUUAAUAACCUUGACUUGGUAGAUUAAUAUUAUUCUUGAAGAAAAGAAUUGCAUUUUGUAGAUCAACAAUGCAGUGAUUGGUGGACUUGUGAUUAAGGACAAUGAUUUGGUCCCUCAAGUGUUAUUGAAUAGCAGGGAAUUAUCAGAUGAUGUAAUAGAGAAAGCCGGAAUCGUUGAAACAUUCGAACUAGCUGAAGAAUGCUUGCAAAUAAAUUAUUAUAGUGCUAAAAGAAUAUCUGAAGCCCUUCUCCCUCUUCUCCAAUGAUCUGAAUCACCAAGAAUUGUGAAUGUAUCAUCCUCCCUAUGAAAGUUAAAGCGUGUAUAAAAUGAAUGGGCUAAAGGAAUCUUGGGCGAUGCUGAAAACCUUACAGAAGAGAGAGUUGAUGAAGUGUUGAAUGAAUUUGUGAAAGAUAUCAAAGAAGGGUGUUUAGAAAGAAAAGGAUCGCCUAAGGUUCUUGGUGCCUAUAUUAUCUCAAAAG